UUGACUGUGUCCCCAUCUGCUGUGAA
This 26-nucleotide non-coding RNA is filed under the name Homo sapiens (human). Lineage: Eukaryota; Metazoa; Chordata; Mammalia; Primates; Hominidae. The record is from RNAcentral.